AGUACCGACGAAGCGCCGAUGAUGGUGGUGACGGUAGGUACAGAAGAAGCACCGGCCAACUACGUGCCAGCAGCCGCGGUAAUACGUAGGGUGCGAGCGUUGUCCGGAAUUAUUGGGCGUAAAGGGCUCGUAGGCGGUUUGUCGCGUCGGGAGUGAAAACACCGGGCUUAACUCGGUGCUUGCUUUCGAUACGGGCAGACUAGAGGCAUGCAGGGGAGAACGGAAUUCCUGGUGUAGCGGUGAAAUGCGCAGAUAUCAGGAGGAACACCGGUGGCGAAGGCGGUUCUCUGGGCAUGUCCUGACGCUGAGGAGCGAAAGUGUGGGGAGCGAACAGGAUUAGAUACCCUGGUAGUCCACACCGUAAACGUUGGGCGCUAGGUGUGGGAUCCAUUCCACGGGUUCCGUGCCGCAGCUAACGCAUUAAGCGCCCCGCCUGGGGAGUACGGCCGCAAGGCUAAAACUCAAAGGAAUUGACGGGGGCCCGCACAAGCGGCGGAGCAUGCGGAUUAAUUCGAUGCAACGCGAAGAACCUUACCUGGGUUUGACAUACGCCGGAAAGCGCCAGAGAUGGUGCCCCUUUUUGUCGGUGUACAGGUGGUGCAUGGCUGUCGUCAGCUCGU
RNAcentral lists this ribosomal RNA (620 nucleotides) under uncultured bacterium. RNAcentral describes it as "bacterial SSU rRNA". It matches the Rfam family "Bacterial small subunit ribosomal RNA", at positions 438 to 1063 of the family's 1533-position model. The record is from RNAcentral.